Schistosoma curassoni is the source of this 45-nucleotide non-coding RNA. NCBI's taxonomy places the organism in Eukaryota, Metazoa, Platyhelminthes, Trematoda, Strigeidida, Schistosomatidae. The record is from Rfam.
AUUCAACUGACGAGUCCCAAAUAGGACGAAGCGCGUGUCCUGGAU